CCGAGUGAGGGUUUCGGCCCAACCUCCAACCCAUUGUAGACCAACACCUGUUGCCUCGGGGGCGACCUGGACGUGGACUCCGCGCCGGGCCCUCAGGGGACCACUUAACUCUGUAUCUUUGCGUCGGAGUACUUUGAGAAUGAAUCA
RNAcentral lists this unclassified non-coding RNA (147 nucleotides) under uncultured Capnodiales. RNAcentral describes it as "sequence contains ITS1". The record is from RNAcentral. Lineage: Eukaryota; Fungi; Ascomycota; Dothideomycetes; Capnodiales.